Long non-coding RNA from Trichechus manatus latirostris (Florida manatee), 297 nucleotides. RefSeq lists it as uncharacterized. The transcript is spliced from 2 exons. The record is from RefSeq and is a predicted model, not a curated record. NCBI's taxonomy places the organism in Eukaryota, Metazoa, Chordata, Mammalia, Sirenia, Trichechidae.
GGAGGGGCGCUCCCAGUUCGAGAACAGUUUUUUCCGCCCAAUAAAACCUUUUCUCUCUGUUGUAGGGGAAAAAAAUCACAAAGUUUAGUAAAGCAAAAAGUUUUAUUCAGCACGCACUCAAAACGGUAAAAGUAGGAAAUCGGACAAGCAUGCUGCCCCAGCCAUGUCUGCUCGACUCCUAGGGCAAAGUCUUCACCACGAAAAGGAAAGAGGAAAGCGAGGGCUUCUCUCUUUGACUGUGAAUUCAUCUUUAUGUGUCAGACUGGAAACCGGAAUCCCAACCUGUAUUAUUUUUGU